Molecule: non-coding RNA, 168 nt
Organism: Pelobates cultripes (western spadefoot toad)
Lineage: Eukaryota; Metazoa; Chordata; Amphibia; Anura; Pelobatidae
Source: the annotation of a GenBank genome assembly
CUAUGGGACACAUAGAGGGGCUGAGGGGGUAGAUGGAAUGGGACACAUGAAGGGGCCUCAUUCCCUCUGUCCCACAGACCCUCCAUGUGUCCCAUUCCAUCUACCACCUCAGCCCCUCCAUGUGUCCCAUUCCAUCUACCCCCUCAGCCCCUCCAUGUGUCCCAGGUG